RNAcentral lists this ribosomal RNA (253 nucleotides) under uncultured bacterium. RNAcentral's name for it is "partial 16S ribosomal RNA". It matches the Rfam family "Bacterial small subunit ribosomal RNA", at positions 524 to 776 of the family's 1533-position model. The record is from RNAcentral.
UACGGGGGGGGCAAGCGUUGUUCGGAAUUACUGGGCGUAAAGGGCUCGUAGGCGGCCAACUAAGUCAGACGUGAAAUCCCCAGGCUUAACCUGGGAACUGCGUCUGAUACUGGAUGGCUUGAAUUCGGGAGAGGGAUGCAGAAUUCCAGGUGUAGCGGUGAAAUGCGUAGAUAUCUGGAGGAAUACCGGUGGCGAAGGCGGCAUCCUGGACCGACAUUGACGCUGAUGAGCGAAAGCUAGGGGAGCAAACGGG